This 492-nucleotide ribosomal RNA is filed under the name uncultured bacterium. RNAcentral's name for it is "partial 16S ribosomal RNA". It matches the Rfam family "Bacterial small subunit ribosomal RNA", at positions 29 to 507 of the family's 1533-position model. The record is from RNAcentral.
AGUGAACGCUGGCGGUAGGCCUAACACAUGCAAGUCGAACGGCAGCACAGUAAGAGCUUGCUCUUACGGGUGGCGAGUGGCGGACGGGCGAGGAAUACAUCGGAAUCUACUUUUUCGUGGGGGAUAACGUAGGGAAACUUACGCUAAUACCGCAUACGACCUACGGGUGAAAGCAGGGGAUCUUCGGACCUUGCGCGAUUGAAUGAGCCGAUGUCGGAUUAGCUAGUUGGCGGGGUAAAGGCCCACCAAGGCGACGAUCCGUAGCUGGUCUGAGAGGAUGAUCAGCCACACUGGAACUGAGACACGGUCCAGACUCCUACGGGAGGCAGCAGUGGGGAAUAUUGGACAAUGGGCGCAAGCCUGAUCCAGCCAUACCGCGUGGGUGAAGAAGGCCUUCGGGUUGUAAAGCCCUUUUGUUGGGAAAGAAAUCCAGCCGGCUAAUACCUGGUUGGGAUGACGGUACCCAAAGAAUAAGCACCGGCUAACUUCGUG